AAAUUGAAGAGUUUGAUCAUGGCUCAGAUUGAACGCUGGCGGCAGGCCUAACACAUGCAAGUCGAACGGUAACAGRAAGCAGCUUGCUGCUUUGCUGACGAGUGGCGGACGGGUGAGUAAUGUCUGGGAAACUGCCUGAUGGAGGGGGAUAACUACUGGAAACGGUAGCUAAUACCGCAUAACGUCGCAAGACCAAAGAGGGGGACCUUCGGGCCU
Molecule: ribosomal RNA, 216 nt
Filed under: Escherichia coli
Lineage: Bacteria; Pseudomonadati; Pseudomonadota; Gammaproteobacteria; Enterobacterales; Enterobacteriaceae
Description: partial 16S ribosomal RNA
Source: RNAcentral